Long non-coding RNA from Cyprinus carpio (common carp), 1617 nucleotides. RefSeq lists it as uncharacterized. NCBI's taxonomy places the organism in Eukaryota, Metazoa, Chordata, Actinopteri, Cypriniformes, Cyprinidae. The record is from RefSeq and is a predicted model, not a curated record. The transcript is spliced from 2 exons.
UUUUUUUUUUUAUUUUUUUUUUUUUUUUUUUGUUUUUGUGUGUGAGUGUAUGUGUGUGUGAAGGACAGAGGCUCACAGACACAGCACUGGUUGGCUAUUUUCAUGGUUCAUUAUAAUAAAUCACUGUAAUGACAGUUUUAUACCAACCAAAUGACUCGUGUGUUUUACUGGGACGGGAAAGAGGGCUGUUUUUGACUUUUACAUGUUCCUAAUGUGAAUUUUUCUUUCACUGUGAAGGUCACUGUGUGAAGAGGUGCUGCGAUGAGGGUUUGAAGAGACUGCUGUUGCUGAGACCUAUCUUAAGAUCGAACAGAACGAAGGAAAAGAGGUUUUAUGACCAAUCAGAUUCAAUGCAGACUUGAGAAGCCCAAUCGGAAUGAAGGAAGAGAGAGUACAUGACCAGUCAACAUCAAGCCAGAGGUUAUAAUCAUCUGGAACGAAGGUAGAAAGAUUGUGAAGAAAGAUGCGCAUAAGGGCUGCAUAGAUACAGUUAGCUAUAACCGCCAAUGUUUGUACGUUUCUCAAUAACACAAUGCGCAACUUCUGCGAUGUUGAAUGUCUGGGGUGUCUAGUCCUGCUCCUGGAUGGCAGAUUUUGGUUACGACCAGCCAAAAACACACUUGCCUGGAAGUUUCUAGCGAUACAGAAGAACUUGAUUGGUUGGUUCAGGGGUGUUUAAUUAGUAUUGGAGCUAAACUCUACAGGACACUGACAAUCCAGGAGCAAGAUUGGACACCGCUGGCCUGUGUAAAAAAAAAAAAAAAUGAAAAUAAGAUAAAUAUUACUGUUUGUUCUUUACAACAACGCUCAGAAUGAAAUAUCUUGAUUGUAGUCUGUAGAGGUAAAAUCUUUAUUCAUUAAUGUGGGUGAAUUGUCUUUAAUGAAAUUUUAGAACUAAUACAUUUUAAUGGUGUAUUUACAGCAUUUUCUACAUAUAACAUCAUCUGACAAGACAGACACCCAAUAAAUAAAGCGAACCAUUUUUUUUUUCUUUCCCUUCAGAACUUCAUCCAGCAUUGUCCAAACUCUUCAGCUGUCUAAGAAGGGAGGGAGUGCCACUAGGUACACAGUGAGGUCGUUUCCUGUGGGCUUUUGCUUUUUGAACCACAUUCUCCAGGUUUUCCCAUGGCAUUUUCUUUUUGAUUGGUGAUCCUAGGCUGUUCGUUUAUCUUGGUGGGACAGAAUGAUUAUACCAAGAGUACAAAACGGUACCAGCUGAGAACAUCAUAAUUAUGGCACACAUAACUAUACAGCACCAACACUGCCGAGAAGUAAAUAUCGAAUUAGAGACAUACAGAAAUUCAACAUGUACACUCAAUACAUAAUACUUAAAACACUCUCCUACUUCUGUAUAUACUUGGCUUGUGCACAAUUACUAAUGGCAGAGAUGUCUGCCCCUAAUUUUGACACUUAUUUUUAAAAUAUAUUAACAGUGAACUCUCAACUUCUGUUUACAUACCCAUUUUAAACAAUGUUGGAUAGUGUUGUGGUAAAAUAAUUGUAAAUUUUGAAACCCGAUAAAUAAUCACUUGCCUGGAAAUUGGUUCUCAGGUAAGUGGUCAGGAUUCAGUGUCCCAUUUUGAUUUUUUUUUUUUUUUUUUUUUUUUUUUUUUUUUU